Molecule: non-coding RNA, 98 nt
Organism: Acanthosepion pharaonis
Lineage: Eukaryota; Metazoa; Mollusca; Cephalopoda; Sepiida; Sepiidae
Source: the annotation of a GenBank genome assembly
GUUGAAACGCCAAUUCCCGUACGAUCAACGACGUUAAGCAACGUCGAGCCUGGUUUGUACCUAGAUGGGUGGCCGCUUGCUAAGAGCAGGGGCUGUAA